Molecule: non-coding RNA, 1238 nt
Organism: Cricetulus griseus (Chinese hamster)
Lineage: Eukaryota; Metazoa; Chordata; Mammalia; Rodentia; Cricetidae
Source: RefSeq, a predicted model, not a curated record
GAAAGCGAAAGCAGAGCUCGGAACCUGCACGGCCUUCCUGGGUUUGGGGAGUGGAGGGACUGCAGGAGGCGGGGACAGCCUACUGAGAGGCGGGGGCUCCCCCGGCAGCCCGAGUAGCGUUUCCGCCCAGCGCUCGGGUCUCUCCCCUCGCCUGCCAGGCCCGCCUCCCAAAGCCCGCCUGCCAGCGCCCGUACCUCUGCCCCUUCCCACCCCGCCUUCCAUUUCCGGGCACCCCCUACUUCUGCUAGGGCCAGGGCAAUAAUAAGCCUUACUUGGGGGUUUUAAAUCUUUUCUGAUUUGGAGCAAGACCUGGUCUUUCUUCUCCAUGCCGGCGUGGUCCCCUGACUUAAGCAUACUCCAGGCCCAGCACCGAGAGCUGGCACUAUCCUUAUCCAAGCUCCGCACAAAGCCAUUGUGGCACACUCUGUUGCCCUGUGGAUCAUUCCCCCACAGCAGGGAUUCAGGCCUGUAUGAUAAAAUCCAAAGACCUUUCUUUCAUAAUCACCUGCCCCCUCCAAGUUGACGGUCUAUUGCUUUCCAGACUCAUCCAUUACACAAGAAAAUGCUUGUAGCUACUUAGUGUUUAUUCCGACUUCAAGGACUCUGCCCUUGGGAAACCUACAACACUCUUCCCUCAAUGUCCGCACUCAGUUCGGAUGUCAAUUUUUCAGAGAGAAUUUUCCACCAUCCUUCAGAAAGUACCUCCCUUGCCCAGUUUAUUACCUCAUCCUGUUUCAGUGCCUCCUCAGCACCUGUGACUGUGACAUGAGGCACUUUUCCUUUAACCAGGGGCAGACAAACUUUCUGUCAGGGGUUGGUGAUAGCUAUUUAGGUUUGGGAAGUGGUACCAUGUCUGUAGCAUCUCAACUAUACUACUUCGAGAGGCAAGCAGCCCACAAAAUAAAUUCCUGUGGAGCUCAUCUGCUUCCAAGCAACAGAAGCCUUGUUUGUCUUGUUCACAUGCUUGGCUCAACUCACCUUUGUGAAAUGAAUGACUGUGCCAUCCUUAUGAGAUAGAGUUAUGUUUUCGGAUUGAGCGGGAUCGGGGGAAGAGCCCAUGGCCUGGGAUCCCAGGAGACCAGGGUUGGUGGUACCAGCUGCCAUAGUGUUCCGACUGGCAACAGAACAGAGAGGCCUGGAGAAGGAAGGUGGGAUCCCUGAGUGUAGGGAGGCAGCGCCCAUGGACUCUGGUGGACUCACAUGUUGAAGAAGUUGCCGUGGCUAGCGAAGAUCGUCCG